GGCCGUGAUGAGCAUUACUUACUUCUGACACCUCUUGUAUGAGAAUGAAUUCCAUGAGCAGAUUAGCAAUCCUCCGUGCU
Molecule: small nucleolar RNA, 80 nt
Filed under: Triticum aestivum (bread wheat)
Lineage: Eukaryota; Viridiplantae; Streptophyta; Magnoliopsida; Poales; Poaceae
Also listed under: 1 other name
Description: snoRNA snoR1
Rfam family: Small nucleolar RNA snoR1
About the family: snoR1 is a member of the C/D class of snoRNA which contain the C (UGAUGA) and D (CUGA) box motifs. Most of the members of the box C/D family function in directing site-specific 2'-O-methylation of substrate RNAs.
Source: Rfam by way of RNAcentral